GCAAGUCGAGGGGUAACAUUGAGUGCUUGCAUUCAGAUGACGACCGGCGAACGGGUGCGUAACGCGUAUAGAAUCUGCCUUGUACAGGAGGAUAGCCUUUAGAAAUGAAGAUUAAUACUCCAUAAUACUGAGAUGUGGCAUCACAAUUUAGUUAAACAUUUAUGGGUACAAGAUGACUAUGCGUCCUAUUAGCUAGAUGGUAAGGUAACGGCUUACCAUGGCAACGAUAGGUAGGGGGUCUGAGAGGAUUAUC
This 253-nucleotide ribosomal RNA is filed under the name uncultured bacterium. RNAcentral's name for it is "partial 16S ribosomal RNA". It matches the Rfam family "Bacterial small subunit ribosomal RNA", at positions 57 to 305 of the family's 1533-position model. The record is from RNAcentral.